CCUACGGGAGGCAGCAGUGGGGAAUAUUGGACAAUGGGGGCAACCCUGAUCCAUCCAUGCCGCGUGUGUGAAGAAGGCCCUCGGGUUGUAAAGCACUUUCAGUGAGGAAGAACGCCUGGUGGUUAAUACCCAUCAGGAAAGACAUCACUCACAGAAGAAGCACCGGCUAACUCCGUGCCAGCAGCCGCGGUAAUACGGAGGGUGCGAGCGUUAAUCGGAAUUACUGGGCGUAAAGCGCGCGUAGGUGGCUUGAUAAGCCGGUUGUGAAAGCCCCGGGCUCAACCUGGGAACGGCAUCCGGAACUGUCAAGCUAGAGUGCAGGAGAGGAAGGUAGAAUUCCCGGUGUAGAGGUGAAAUGCGUAGAGAUCGGGAAGAAUACCAGUGGCGAAGGCGGCCUUCUGGACUGACACUGACACUGAGGUGCGAAAGCGUGGGUAGCAAACAGGAUUAGAUACCCUUGUAGUC
Molecule: ribosomal RNA, 465 nt
Filed under: Vreelandella stevensii
Lineage: Bacteria; Pseudomonadati; Pseudomonadota; Gammaproteobacteria; Oceanospirillales; Halomonadaceae
Description: partial 16S ribosomal RNA
Rfam family: Bacterial small subunit ribosomal RNA
Source: RNAcentral